This 219-nucleotide ribosomal RNA is filed under the name Acaulospora sp. WUM18. The record is from RNAcentral. Lineage: Eukaryota; Fungi; Glomeromycota; Glomeromycetes; Diversisporales; Acaulosporaceae.
CAGUCAUGCUAGUGAGGGAUCAACCUGAUGGCGUGUGGGUUUUCCCUCGUACUUUCAGGUGCACUUUCUCACCCGGCAGGUUAGCAUCAAUUUCGGUUAUCAUAAAAAAUUUGAGGGAAUGUGACUUUUCUUCGGAAAAGUGUUAUAGACCUUGAUCUAUGUGGUGACCGGGAUUGAGGAUUGCAGCGGAUACCUUGUGGCUGGUUACCCUCGCUUCUG